RNAcentral lists this ribosomal RNA (257 nucleotides) under uncultured Basidiomycota. RNAcentral's name for it is "partial 18S ribosomal RNA". It matches the Rfam family "Eukaryotic small subunit ribosomal RNA", at positions 624 to 886 of the family's 1831-position model. The record is from RNAcentral. Lineage: Eukaryota; Fungi; Basidiomycota.
AAGCUCGUAGUUGAAUUUCGAAUGUGGCUGGGCGGUCCGCCUCACGGUGUGUACUGUCUGGCCGUGUUCUCUUUCUUGGUGAGCCGGCAUGCCCUUUACUGGGUGUGUUGGGGAACCAGGACGUUUACCUUGAGAAAAUUAGAGUGUUCAAAGCAGGCCUACGCCCGAAUACAUUAGCAUGGCAUAAUAAAAUAGGACGUGCGGUUCUAUUUUGUUGGUUUCUAGAGCCGCAGUAAUGAUUAAUAGGGAUAGUUGGG